Molecule: transfer RNA, 69 nt
Filed under: Acanthocystis turfacea Chlorella virus MO0605SPH
Lineage: Varidnaviria; Bamfordvirae; Nucleocytoviricota; Megaviricetes; Algavirales; Phycodnaviridae
Also listed under: 2 other names
Description: tRNA-Ser
Rfam family: tRNA
About the family: Transfer RNA (tRNA) molecules are approximately 80 nucleotides in length. Their secondary structure includes four short double-helical elements and three loops (D, anti-codon, and T loops).
Source: RNAcentral
GCUCCUUAGCUCAGAGGAGAGCGCUGGUCUACUAGACCAAAGGGGGCGGUUCAAUUCCGUCAUGGAGAA